Molecule: non-coding RNA, 113 nt
Organism: Paramuricea clavata
Lineage: Eukaryota; Metazoa; Cnidaria; Anthozoa; Malacalcyonacea; Plexauridae
Source: the annotation of a GenBank genome assembly
AAGCUCACUCACACUCAAUGAGUGGAGGUUCAAUCUGACUAUGAUCUGAGCUUCCUUUGAGUGACACUCAAGAGAAGCUCAGAUUGAUCUCCACUCAUUGAGUGUGAAUGAGC